This 288-nucleotide signal recognition particle RNA is filed under the name Aotus nancymaae (Ma's night monkey). RNAcentral describes it as "Metazoan signal recognition particle RNA (ENSANAG00000004857.1)". It matches the Rfam family "Metazoan signal recognition particle RNA". From Rfam's summary of the family: The signal recognition particle (SRP) is a universally conserved ribonucleoprotein. It is involved in the co-translational targeting of proteins to membranes. The eukaryotic SRP consists of a 300-nucleotide 7S RNA and six proteins: SRPs 72, 68, 54, 19, 14, and 9. Lineage: Eukaryota; Metazoa; Chordata; Mammalia; Primates; Aotidae. The record is from RNAcentral.
GCCGGGCGCAGUGGCGCAUGCCUGUAAUCAGGAGGCUGAGGCUGGAGGAUCUCUUGAGUCCAGAAGUUCUGGGCUGUAGUGCACUAUGCCAAUUGGGUGUCCGAACUAAGUUUGGCAUCAAUAUGGUGACCUCCCAGGAGUGGGGAACCACCAGGUUGCCUAAGGAGGGGUGAACCGGUCCAGGUCGGAAAUGGAGCAGGUCAAAACUCCCGUGCUGAUCAGUAGUGGGAUUGCGCCUGUGAUAGCCACUGCACUCCAGCCUGGGCAACAUAGUGAGACCCCGUCUCU